RNAcentral lists this transfer RNA (72 nucleotides) under Cavia porcellus (domestic guinea pig). It matches the Rfam family "tRNA". From Rfam's summary of the family: Transfer RNA (tRNA) molecules are approximately 80 nucleotides in length. Their secondary structure includes four short double-helical elements and three loops (D, anti-codon, and T loops). Further hydrogen bonds mediate the characteristic L-shaped molecular structure. tRNAs have two regions of fundamental functional importance: the anti-codon, which is responsible for specific mRNA codon recognition, and the 3' end, to which the tRNAs corresponding amino acid is attached (by aminoacyl-tRNA synthetases). tRNAs cope with the degeneracy of the genetic code in two manners: having more than one tRNA (with a specific anti-codon) for a particular amino acid; and 'wobble' base-pairing, i.e. permitting non-standard base-pairing at the 3rd anti-codon position. The record is from Rfam by way of RNAcentral. Lineage: Eukaryota; Metazoa; Chordata; Mammalia; Rodentia; Caviidae.
GGUGAUGCAGUUCAGUGGUAGAGUGGUUGUCUGCCAUGUACAAGGCCCUGGGUUCAAUUCCUAGCACUACCA